AACCAUAGAAACCUGCGGAGUACCUGCGGAGGGAUCAUUAGCAAAUCCGUGUGUUUGGUGGUGGGGUUGGUGUUGUUGGUAGUGGUCAGAGUGAGCGCGAGCUUCAUUCGACACCGACACGGCACCGCUCCCAGCCAACACAUAUAUAAACCCCAAGUGGUCUGUGGGCCCUUUGGUAUGCGCGUUGGGCUAUGGUAAUUGCUGCCGCAUUUACACGAACCCGCGCCAUUAUAUAGACGC
This 240-nucleotide unclassified non-coding RNA is filed under the name soil metagenome. RNAcentral's name for it is "partial contains 5.8S ribosomal RNA, internal transcribed spacer 2, and large subunit ribosomal RNA". The record is from RNAcentral.